GCUCCCGUAGCUUAAAGGUAGAGCUGAGUUUUCGUAAAGCUUAUGGUACAGGUUCAAAUCCUGUUGGGAGCU
Molecule: transfer RNA, 72 nt
Filed under: Caudoviricetes sp.
Lineage: Duplodnaviria; Heunggongvirae; Uroviricota; Caudoviricetes
Description: tRNA-Thr
Rfam family: tRNA
About the family: Transfer RNA (tRNA) molecules are approximately 80 nucleotides in length. Their secondary structure includes four short double-helical elements and three loops (D, anti-codon, and T loops).
Source: RNAcentral